UACGUAGGGGGCAAGCGUUGUCCGGAUUUAUUGGGCGUAAAGAGCGUGUAGGCGGCCAUGUAGGUCCGUUGUGAAAACUCGAGGCUCAACCUCGAGACGCCGAUGGAAACCAUCUGACUAGAGUCCGGAAGAGGAGAGUGGAAUUCCUGGUGUAGCGGUGAAAUGCGCAGAUAUCAGGAAGAACACCCGUGGCUAAGGCGGCUCUCUAGUACGGUACUGACGCUGAGACGCGAAAGCGUGGGGAGCGAACAGG
This 253-nucleotide ribosomal RNA is filed under the name uncultured bacterium. RNAcentral's name for it is "partial 16S ribosomal RNA". It matches the Rfam family "Bacterial small subunit ribosomal RNA", at positions 524 to 776 of the family's 1533-position model. The record is from RNAcentral.